Molecule: unclassified non-coding RNA, 194 nt
Filed under: plant metagenome
Description: partial contains small subunit ribosomal RNA, internal transcribed spacer 1, and 5.8S ribosomal RNA
Source: RNAcentral
UUUCCGUAGGUGAACCUGCGGAAGGAUCAUUACAGAGUUCAUGCCCGAAAGGGUAGACCUCCCACCCUUUUGUAUUAUUGCUUUGUUGCUUUGGCGAGCGCAAGCUCGCCCGAGAAUACCAAAACUCUUUUUAUUAAUGUCGUCUGAGUACUAUAUAAUAGUCAAAACUUUCAACAACGGAUCUCUUGGUUCUG